CACCUUCAACUUGACCGGCAAAGGGUGUAGGACAGUGCCAGGAAGUGGCUUGGUGAGAAGAUCAGCCAGCUGAUGGGAAGUAGAGACAUGGGAGAGAGUAAUAAGCCCAGCAGCUAAGAGGUCUCGCACAAAAUGGCAAUCCACCUCGAUAUGCUUGGUCCGCUCAUGAAAGACAGGAUUUUUGGCAAUAUGGAUAGUAGCGUGGUUGUCACAGAAAACACAAAAGGGGAGAGAAACAGAAACACCAACGUCAGUGAGCAAACGGAAAAACCAAGACAGUUUAGCAACUACCUUACUGAGAGCCCUAUACUCAACUUCAGCAGAGGAAAAAGAAACUGCAGGUUGUUUCUUGGACUUCCAACUAAUUAAGCAUCCACCCAAAAGAACACAAAACCAGUCAUAGACCUGCGACUCUGGACAGGCAGCCCAAUCACUGUCAGAAUAAGCAUGUACAGAGAAAUCAGAACCGUCAGAAUAGAAGAGACCCAAAUGCAUAGUUCCCUUAAGAUAUCGGAGGACAUGUAAAGCAGCAGUCAUAUAAGGGACUCUAGGACACUUCAAAUAUUGACUCAGAUGCUGAACAACAAAGCAGAUUUCAGGCCUGGUGUGAGUCAAAAAUAAGAUCUUACCAACAAUGCUCCUAUAUUGAUUAGGAAGGAGAGGAUGACUCCAGAAUCAGCAUGGAGUUUGACAUUAAGAUCCAAAGGGCAAACAACAAGAGAAACGUUCAUGCAGUCAAACUGAUGCAAUAGGUCAGAAACAUAUUUAUGCUGGUUAAGGAGCAUCCCACCAGGAACAACAGACAUCUUAAUGCCCAAAAAAUAAUGCAAAGACCCAAGGUCUUUGAUCCUGAACUGAUCAUCCAGAAACAGCUUCAGGGCAGAAAACUCAUCAUUGUCAUCCCCAGUAAUAAUAAUGUAAUCCACAUAGACUGCCACAACAACCAGACAACCAGGUUGGACUUUGAUAAAAAGAGAAUAGUCAUUCAGAGAAUGAGCAUAGCCUCUGGAGUAGAGAGCAGAAGAUAGCUUAGCAUACAAUUGUCUGGAUGCCUGCCUCAACCCAUAUAGGGAUUUUUUUCAACUUACAGACAAGAGGAGGAGAUGCAGAGGAAACAUAAUCAGAAGAAGAGACAGAAACAGACAAACCUAGAGGGAGAUUCAUAUCGACCUCCUUAUCCAAAUCACCAUGAAAGAAAGCAUUGUUAACAUCAAGCUGGAAAAGUUUCCAAUGCUUCUUAACAGCCACUGCAAUAAGACACUUCACAGUGGACAUUUUANNNNNNNNNNNNNNNNNNNNNNNNNNNNNNNNNNNNNNNNNNNNNNNNNNNNNNNNNNNNNNNNNNNNNNNNNCUUCACAGUGGACAUUUUAACCACAGGAGAAAAAGUGUCAGUGAAAUCAACCCCUUCAAUUUGAGUAUCCCCUCUAAUAACAAGUCUAGCUUUGUAUCUUCCAACACUACCAUCAGCCUUAUAUUUGAUCUUAUAAACCCAUUUGCAGCCUAUGAUUUACUUACCAGAAGGAAGGAGAACAACAUCCCAGGUACAGUUUGCAUCCAAAGCAUCAAACUCCUUUCUCAUGGCAUCCUGCCACACUGGAACUGAUGCAGCUUCAGAGUAAUAAAUAGGUUCAGUCUCCAGAGGAGAAGAAGAAGACCCAGAGAAAGCAGGAAGAUGACAGACAUAAUCCUUAACGUAAGAAGGAGGAUUGUGCUGUCUUCUAGAUUUCCUGGGAACAGUAGCUGAUGUAGAAGAAGGCAAAGCAGGAGGGGAAAUGUCAUGGUUGAAAGGAGGACUGGAAAUUGGAUAGGAAGAAGGAGAAUCUGAAACAGAAUGUGAAGGUGGAGAGGAACAGAUGGGAAUAGAGAAAUCUGGCUCAGAAAGGGAAUGCUCAAGAGGAGGAACAAAAUGAAAAGAGGAUGGAGAAACAGAAGGAGUAGAGGUAACAGAAGAACAGAUUUAAAGGGAAAAGAAGUUUCAUGAAAGAUAACAUCCUUGGACACAAAGCACUUUUUGGAACUGAGAUCAUGCACUCUAUUACCCUUUUUAGCAAAAGGAUACCCCAGGAAGACACAUGAAAUGGCCCUAGGUUUUAACUUUUUUCUUUGAGGAAUUGGGACAGUGGCAUAGGCAAGGCAGCCAAAAGUCCUCAAAUGGGAGUAAGUGGGUGCCAUUCCAUGCAAGAUUUCAUAAGGGGAUUUUCCAUGAAGAAGCCUGGAGGGUAUUCUGUUAAUAAGGUAGGUAGGUAGCAGUCAAUAGGCAAUCUCCUUGGAAUGAGAUGGGUAAACCAGAUUGGAAGAGUAAAGCUCUACAAGUUUCAAGAAGGGUCCUAUGUUUUCCAUCAAUAACACCAUUCUGUUGAGAAGUGUGUGGGCAAGUGGUUUGGUGAAUAAUGCCAUGUUGACUAAAAAAGGAUGCACCAGCAAUACUAGACCUCAAUUCCAAAGCAUUGUCACUCAUAAUAGUUUGAACAACAGCAUUAAACUGGGUCUUAACCAUACAGAGGAAAGACUUAAGCAUGCAGAAAGCAUUAUUUUUAGACCCCAAUAAAUAUAUCCAGGUUGCUCUAGAAAAGUCAUCAACCAUUGUGAGAAAAUAUCUAGAGACAUAAGAGGUGGGAGUAUGAUAAGGGCCCCAGGUAUUUACAUGAAUCAAUUGGAAAGGUCUAGAUGUACUUGUUUUGCUUUCAGGAAAGGGAUCUAGUUUGCCUAGCAAUGGGACAAAUAGAACACUGAAAAGGCUGUUUAGAAGCAAAUGGAA
RNAcentral lists this long non-coding RNA (2759 nucleotides) under Nicotiana benthamiana. Its description in RNAcentral is "long non-coding RNA (NBEN_LNC012553)". Lineage: Eukaryota; Viridiplantae; Streptophyta; Magnoliopsida; Solanales; Solanaceae. The record is from RNAcentral.